CGGACCUAACCAUGCAAGUCGAGCGGAACGAGUUAACUGAACCUUCGGGGAACGUUAACGGCGUCGAGCGGCGGACGGGUGAGUAAUGCCUGGGAAAUUGCCCUGAUGUGGGGGAUAACCAUUGGAAACGAUGGCUAAUACCGCAUAAUAGCUUCGGCUCAAAGAGGGGGACCUUCGGGCCUCUCGCGUCAGGAUAUGCCCAGGUGGGAUUAGCUAGUUGGUGAGGUAAUGGCUCACCAAGGCGACGAUCCCUAGCUGGUCUGAGAGGAUGAUCAGCCACACUGGAACUGAGACACGGUCCAGACUCCUACGGGAGGCAGCAGUGGGGAAUAUUGCACAAUGGGCGCAAGCCUGAUGCAGCCAUGCCGCGUGUAUGAAGAAGGCCUUCGGGUUGUAAAGUACUUUCAGCAGUGAGGAAGGUGGUAGUGUUAAUAGCACUAUCAUUUGACGUUAGCUGCAGAAGAAGCACCGGCUAACUCCGUGCCAGCAGCCGCGGUAAUACGGAGGGUGCGAGCGUUAAUCGGAAUUACUGGGCGUAAAGCGCAUGCAGGUGGUUUGUUAAGUCAGAUGUGAAAGCCCGGGGCUCAACCUCGGAAUUGCAUUUGAAACUGGCAGACUAGAGUACUGUAGAGGGGGGUAGAAUUUCAGGUGUAGCGGUGAAAUGCGUAGAGAUCUGAAGGAAUACCGGUGGCGAAGGCGGCCCCCUGGACAGAUACUGACACUCAGAUGCGAAAGCGUGGGGAGCAAACAGGAUUAGAUACCCUGGUAGUCCACGCCGUAAACGAUGUCUACUUGGAGGUUGUGGCCUUGAGCCGUGGCUUUCGGAGCUAACGCGUUAAGUAGACCGCCUGGGGAGUACGGUCGCAAGAUUAAAACUCAAAUGAAUUGACGGGGGCCCGCACAAGCGGUGGAGCAUGUGGUUUAAUUCGAUGCAACGCGAAGAACCUUACCUACUCUUGACAUCCUUCAGAACUUUUCUAGAGAUGGAUCUUGGUGCCUUCGGGAACUAGUGAGACAGGUGCUGCAUGGCUGUCGUCAGCUCGUGUUGUGAAAUGUUGGGUUAAGUCCCGCAACGAGCGCAACCCUUUAUUCCUUGUUUUGC
This 1102-nucleotide ribosomal RNA is filed under the name Vibrio tubiashii. RNAcentral's name for it is "bacterial SSU rRNA". It matches the Rfam family "Bacterial small subunit ribosomal RNA", at positions 43 to 1120 of the family's 1533-position model. Lineage: Bacteria; Pseudomonadati; Pseudomonadota; Gammaproteobacteria; Vibrionales; Vibrionaceae. The record is from RNAcentral.